UACGUAGGGUGCAAGCGUUGUCCGGAAUCACUGGGUGUAAAGCGCGUGUAGGUGGUUGGUCUAGUCUGGGGUGAAAGCGCUCGGCUUAACUGAGCGAGGUCCCUGGAAACUGGCCGACUGGAGGCCGGUAGAGGCGAGUGGAAUUCCCGGUGUAGUGGUGAAAUGCGUAGAGAUCGGGAGGAACACCAGUGGCGAAGGCGGCUCGCUGGGCCGGGCCUGACACUGAGACGCGAAGGCGUGGGGAGCGAACGGG
RNAcentral lists this ribosomal RNA (253 nucleotides) under uncultured bacterium. RNAcentral describes it as "partial 16S ribosomal RNA". It matches the Rfam family "Bacterial small subunit ribosomal RNA", at positions 524 to 776 of the family's 1533-position model. The record is from RNAcentral.